Long non-coding RNA from Dreissena polymorpha, 609 nucleotides. RefSeq lists it as uncharacterized. The record is from RefSeq and is a predicted model, not a curated record. NCBI's taxonomy places the organism in Eukaryota, Metazoa, Mollusca, Bivalvia, Myida, Dreissenidae. The transcript is spliced from 3 exons.
CAUUUCUCGUGAAUUCAGCGCAAAGCAUGUUUUUCAUUACAAAUGAGAUUAUGUUUUCGUAAUAUUCUUCGCGGGUUGCUAACUUGACAGGAUCUUACAAGAUGUGGAACUACAUCUGAUGUUGAAAUAUUGCACAAGUCAACCCAAGCAUGUCACAUGAUGCGGAUAAUGUCAUGAUGAUUCAGGCAGCCGAUUUCGCCAGGAACAGACGGAGUGAUGACGUCAGACGCAGAAGCACACGAUUUCCGGUCGAAUGCAUGAGUCAGCAAAUUCAGACAGACGAGGUGUCUUCCCAUGACCUGUCCAGGUUGCAGCUCAGAUUGUGGACUAUUGCCAUCAUCUCUGUACUGUUCAUGAAAAUUACAUGUGAACUUGCUCUUUUACGGAUCACACAAACUCUAGAGACCUUUAUUAUGAUAUUAAUUUUGUUGCAAUUAGCUAAACUAAUGUGUGUGACUGUCUAUAUAGUUGUUAAUCUUUGGUGUUUAGUGCCACUGCAAAACUCUUAUCCACAAACCAAUAAGAUUUUGCACAACAGUAACAUUCUUUUAUUAUCUGCUUUAUUUUUUGCUAACUCUAUAUUUACUGAUUUUCUUAUCAUUGCACAUU